UACCAGCACCCCGAGUGGUCGGGACGUUUUAUUGGGCCUAAAGCAUCCGUAGCCGGUUCUACAAGUUCUUCCGUUAAAUCCAACUGCUUAACAGGUGGGCUGCGGAAGAUACUAUAGAGCUAGGAGGCGGGAGAGGCAAGCGGUACUCGAUGGGUAGGGGUAAAAUCCGUUGAUCCAUUGAAGACCACCAGUGGCGAAGGCGGCUUGCCAGAACGCGCUCGACGGUGAGGGAUGAAAGCUGGGGGAGCAACCGG
RNAcentral lists this ribosomal RNA (254 nucleotides) under uncultured bacterium. RNAcentral's name for it is "partial 16S ribosomal RNA". It matches the Rfam family "Archaeal small subunit ribosomal RNA", at positions 474 to 726 of the family's 1478-position model. The record is from RNAcentral.